Molecule: non-coding RNA, 58 nt
Organism: Salmo salar (Atlantic salmon)
Lineage: Eukaryota; Metazoa; Chordata; Actinopteri; Salmoniformes; Salmonidae
Source: Rfam
UGGCUCAGUUGGUACAGUGUGGCGCUUGCAAUGCCAGAGUUGUGGGUUCAAUUCCCAC